This 406-nucleotide ribosomal RNA is filed under the name Cardinium endosymbiont of Tetragnathidae sp. RNAcentral describes it as "partial 16S ribosomal RNA". Lineage: Bacteria; Pseudomonadati; Bacteroidota; Cytophagia; Cytophagales; Amoebophilaceae. The record is from RNAcentral.
AAUAGUAUCAAUCGCAGUUCUAGCGUUAAGCACUAGGAUUUCACAACUGACUUAAUAAGCCGCCUACGCACCCUUUAAACCCAAUAAAACCGGAUAACGCUUGCACCUCCCGUAUUACCGCGGCUGCUGGCACGGAAUUAGCCGGUGCUUAUUCUUACAGUACUCUCAAGAACCCCCGCAGGGAUUUUUUUGCUCCUGUACAAAAGCAGUUUACAACUCAUAGAGCCUUCAUCCUGCACGCGGCAUGACUGGUUCAGGCUUGCGCCCAUUGACCAAUAUUCCCUACUGCUGCCUCCCGUAGGAGUCUGGCCCGUAUCUCAGUGCCAGUGUGGGGGACCUUCCACUAAGAACCCCUACCCAUCGUAGCCUUGGUGAGCCAUUACCUCUCCAACUAGCUAAUAGGACG